AGGUCGAAGAUCUUAAACUGCGACCCAACAGAUGUCAUCCUGUCAUCGUAUCGCUAACAGUGCACGUCUCUGCUCGUGUGACUGAUCAUCUGAUCUGCCUCCAAUCAUUGCUCUGUAUCUACCGUCCGCUCUUUUUACUUACCGAUCCUGCAACGGCGAAGACGGUUCAUCCAAAGCCUUGUGCCUCUCGAUCUCUUCGCUAGAUGGAAACUCUCCAGGUCUCGGCUUCACAAGCAAGGUCAGAUUGGCGCUGGACCUUCCAGCCACGCAGGAAUAAGACUUCCCGGGCGACCCCGGCGCCACUCUGAUGUUACUCGAUGUACCGAAUAUUAGUGACCUGUUGGAAAGACAUACCUCAUUAUAAUG
Long non-coding RNA from Colias croceus (clouded yellow), 366 nucleotides. RefSeq lists it as uncharacterized. Lineage: Eukaryota; Metazoa; Arthropoda; Insecta; Lepidoptera; Pieridae. The transcript is spliced from 4 exons. The record is from RefSeq and is a predicted model, not a curated record.